Molecule: ribosomal RNA, 249 nt
Filed under: uncultured fungus
Lineage: Eukaryota; Fungi
Description: partial small subunit ribosomal RNA
Rfam family: Eukaryotic small subunit ribosomal RNA
Source: RNAcentral
CUUAAUUGCGAUUACGAACGAGACCUUAACCUGCUAAAUAGCCCGUAUUGCUUUGGCAGUACGCUGGCUUCUUAGAGGGACUAUCGGCACAAGCCGAUGGAAGUUUGAGGCAAUAACAGGUCUGUGAUGCCCUUAGAUGUGCUGGGCCGCACGCGCGCUACACUGACGGAGCCAGCGAGUUCUCCCUUGACCGGAAGGUCCGGGUAAUCUUGUUAAACUCCGUCGUGCUGGGGAUAGGGCAUUGCAAUG